Molecule: ribosomal RNA, 269 nt
Filed under: uncultured prokaryote
Description: partial 16S ribosomal RNA
Rfam family: Bacterial small subunit ribosomal RNA
Source: RNAcentral
UACGUAGAAGGCGAGCGUUAUCCGGAUUCAUUGGGCGUAAAGAGGGCGUAGGCGGCUUUUCAAGUCGGAUGUGAAAUCUCCCGGCUUAACUGGGAGGUGUCGUUCGAUACUGUUGGGCUUGAGGGCAGCAGAGGGAGGUGGAAUUCCCGGUGUAGUGGUGGAAUGCGUAGAUAUCGGGAGGAACACCAGUGGCGAAGGCGGCCUCCCAGGCUGUUUCUGACGCUGAGGCCCGUAAGCGUGGGGAGCAAACAGGAUUAGAUACCCGCGUA